Long non-coding RNA from Zonotrichia leucophrys gambelii, 6418 nucleotides. RefSeq lists it as uncharacterized. The transcript is spliced from 2 exons. The record is from RefSeq and is a predicted model, not a curated record. NCBI's taxonomy places the organism in Eukaryota, Metazoa, Chordata, Aves, Passeriformes, Passerellidae.
AAACCAGGUACAUUUCCACUACCUUUUGGAAGAGCACUGGGAAUAUCCCUCGUCUGAGCACUGGACUGCUAUGAUUCAGCCCAAGGAACCUGCUUCACAUUGAUGCUCAACACUGCUGCACCAGCUCUGUGCAAAGGAGGUGACACCCGUGGGUGGUGGAAGGCAUCAAGAAUCUCCAAACCCUCUUUCACAAGUUUGUGAAAACAUGAUUGAAUAUUGCUUCUGCAGCCAACAGGAGCAGGAAACCACUUCUGAAUUAGAGCCAGAAGUCACUUAUAAAAUACUUCUUUGGCCACCUGGUGCAGGGCUUGCAGCACCUCAGGUACGUUAAUUCACCUGGUUCCUUACAAACCCCAAGGGAGAUGGAUAAUCAUCCUCUCUUUCUUGGAGAAAGCAGAGUGAAACAUGAGAGGUAAAAUGCUUUGAUAAUGACAGUCAGACCCUGGCAGCAUUUUGCAGUUAGAAAGUGCUGGCUCCUGGAGGGCUGCCAGGCAUUUCUCAGAGACAGGCAGGAGCCUGUGUGUGCUGUGCAGGGCAUGUGCAGUGAGCUGGCAGCAUCCUGGAGCCUUUGGUGUGCCAGCAGGCAGGCUGCACAUUAGCUGGGUCUGGAAGCCCAUGGUGGUGCAGGCCAAGGAACUUUGAGCCAGUUAGCAGGGCUUUGCCAGGUUGAAUCCAUAAUAGAGGUAACACAUGAAUUCUGCUUGAGGGCUAUCUCUGCUUGCUGCUCCACUGUGCUGUGAGGAGCUUGGGUUGGUGCUUACAGGGGUGAUUAUUUGUCUUGUCCUUUGCUUUUUGGGUACAGAGCCUUUAGUUCCUCUUCCUUUGCAGUACAGGGGGUAGCUGUCUCCCUUUCUGAAGCAAAGCCUGGUGAUAACCAUGUGUUACCACCACAGAUAGUCAGCGUUGAGCCACAGUCACAGUGGUGGCAAAACUGCAUUUCAUUCCUAUAAGGGGAAGGGCAAAAGGCUCACUGAGGAUUUAAUGUAUCCUGCUGGAACAGAAACCAGAAUGGCUUCUCUGCAGGGCAUCCUGUCUCACUAGCUUUACGGCUGCCCAAACAGUCUGCCCCUCAUAAACAGAUAGGAUUUAAGAGUCAUGAAUGUAUGGUAGCCCUCAGUCUGUGUAUAGCUGAGCAGCUGGCUUGUCCAGGUUAGGCAUUAGGAAAACCUUUCUGGGUGAUAAAGGGGGAAUGAUAAAAUCAUUUAUGUUAGAAAAAAAUCUUUGAGAUUGAGUCCAACCUGUGACCAAACACCACCUUGUCAAGUAGACUAUGGUAUCGAGUGCCACAUCCAGUUGUUUCUUGAAUGUCUCCAGGGACAGUUACUCCACCACUUCCCUGGAUAAUUCAUUCAAGUGUUUAGCAACCCUUUCUGUGAAGAAGUCCUUCCUAAUGUCCAACCUGAACCUCCCCUGGCAUAGCUUGAGGUAAUUUCCUCGUGUCUUGUCACUUGUUACCUGGGAGAAGAGACCAGCCCCCACUUUGCUACAACCUCCUUUCAGGAAGUUGUAGAGAGCAUUGAAGUCACUCCUGAGCCUCCUUCUCAAGAGAAAGAGAAGGUGGACAAGCCUGUGCAGACAUCAGGAGAGGCUUUGAUGGUGGAGAUUUUUAGGAACAAGUUGGACAAACCUUGUGUAAUAGAGUAGUGAUUCCUGCCUGAGAGCAGGGAUUUUAAUUGAAUGGUUAAUCUCAGUCUCUUCCACUCCCUUGUUGUGUUUUGGUGGUUUUUUUGGUUGGUUGAGUUGUUUUGGUUUUGGGUGUUUUUUGUUUUUUUUUUUGUAUUGCUACUUUACUCUGUAAAUUCUUUCUAGAAGUGUAAGUACAGAAAAGUGUUCAGAACAUUUUUGCCCUUGGGUUCAGGCACUUGCAUAAUAGAUGUGGCAUUUUAAAUCAUUAACAACAAAUGCCAAUUCCUGCCUGCUGUGCAGUAGAUAACUUUGGAUAGAAAAAAGUGGCAGGCUAAAGAAAUUUAGAUUGUUCUUGAACUCUCCCUGCACCUUCUGGGAAAAUCAACAACAACAACAAAAAAGUAAGCAAAAUCUAGAUUGUAUGCAAUCUGUGGGCACAUUGACAACCUGAAUUGGCGUCACAUAUCCAGUGAGGACAACAAACCUGUGUGACUUCUCUUCAGUUAUUAAUUAUACUUGUCAAAGGACAACAAACCUGUGUGACUUCUCUUCAGUUAUUAAUUAUACUUGUCAAAGGUCACAGUGCAAUAUGGUUUACUUUUACCCUCAAUUUCCACUGAAAAAUGCUUUUAGGAUGACUUAUUUUGUCCUUUUUUUGAUUGCUGACAUGUUCCACAUUUCAGUAGCUCUUGUUUGAAUACACAUAGCCUUAAUCACUGGCCUUUUUUAAUUUAUCUCCUUUAAACUGUGAAAGUUAAAGGUUUGUAAGCCCUAAAAAUCCAUAUAUCCAGCAUCUCCAAGGCCUAGAGGUGAAACUGAAAAAUCAUUUCUCCUGAGUAAGGUGAGUUGGAUUUGACUUCAGAUCUCAGUGUGUACAGAUGAUCUUUGUCUUUUCCUUCCUUCAAGAUGUUUUUGUGGAACUGCUGGGGUUUGUCUUGCAUCCUUCAGAGCUCUGCUUUUUUUUUUUUUUUUUUUUUGUCUGAGCUGACAAGCCUGAUAAAUUUACCACACAGGAGCAUCCCUGUUUGUGUUACUAUGUUAUUUAUAUAUAAAAAUGCAGCACUGGAAACAGCACUUCUGCUGUGAGACCUGUUCCAGCUGAAGUCUGCAUCCAAGAAGUCCUGCUGUGGUCUGCUGCCAUGUACCUACUCCCUAAGAUGGCUGUAAGAUUGAGAACUCUGCCUAUGAAGGGCCUCAAUGCAACUAAACUGAACUUUCUACUUUUGAUCAUCUAACAAAACUCAUAAGCUUCUUCCAGAUAAAAGAAUUCAUCAUGACCUCUAGUCUGUCUUAGGACUGUACAUGAACUUUAGGCUCCCAUAGUCACAACAAACUGUAGGUUUCCAGGGAAGGGAAUCAUUAAUUUGGAAGACUGACAUCCGUUGCAUCCCGAAGGACAGAUCCAGCUGAGGAUCCUUCACUCAUGCCUGAAGGAGCUUUGCAUUUGGCAGCACAGUGUCCUAAAUCUGUGCUAGCUCUACAGUUGUCAGCAAACUGUUCUCCUACUCCUAUCCUUUUCCAGAUGUUUAAGAAGUAAAGCUGUAUUUUACUCUUACUGUCAGCUGUUUGAGAAUGCUGCUGCUUUUUAAAUAAAUACAAAAGUUAGGAUCUUAAAUCAUAGAUAAUGUAUAAAUACUCUUUAAACCCACAUUUGAAUAGAGUUUCUGUUGCUCACCUGUCAGGGCUCUGUUGCUGUUACUGGAGCUCAGAACACCCCUGGCUGAAUGUUUCAGGGAACUUUGCUCCCCUUGCUGUUUAGGUGAUUUGGUAAUACUGGAAAAUGCAACUCUUUUGGCUGGAAUCUUAAGAAAGCUUCUUUCUCUCUCACUCACUCCCAUACCCCUUCUGAGUUGUGUUUUGCAUUAUGUUGACCUCUGGAAAAAUAUUACUCAUGCAGAGAUUCUGUGACUGGCCAAAUUUUAUUUAUUCUUUCCUCUCAUGCCACCAAGUGAUAUAUUAAUGUUUGAUCCUCAGGUUUUCUUACAAUGUAUGCUUACUCUGUCUAAUAGAGCAUCAGUCCUGAAAUUAUUGUCAAUUUUAUUUUAGACCAUAUGUUUUAUCUGGUUGGCAGAGUAAGGAAACAGAAGGAGUGUGACAGGGAAGGCAGGUUUUGUUUACUGUACUUUCUCUAAUAGACCAAUGUAACUAGAACGCACUUAGAUUAGAUGAGAGGGAUGGGAUAGUUUUGCUUUCUUCUCUGUGCAAUUAUAGCUUGGACAGUGACCUGAAAAACUUUUAUCAAGCAGAAGGAAUGCUGUAAAACAGCUGUUGCAAAUCACCUAGCCAUGAGCACCAUUAUCUGUAUUGGGAUAGUAUUCAUUCAUUUGCUUUCCUCACCACCUGUCUGCUCUCCCUUUGCUGCUCUGUCCUUGUGAGUUUACUUUGUCUUUACUCAGCAGUGUUCAUGAGGUGGUUCCUUGCCCUGGCUCUCUUUCCUAAUAACACUCAUUAUUUACUUUCUUAACCUAUUAGAAUUGUAUAGAAAUAAUAUUGUCCUGUCAUUUUUACCAUUGAAAAUUAAUUAAUAUAUGGCAUCAGUUUUCCAAAGAACUUCAUAAAAUGGGAUACUAUUUGAAAACAGGACUGUAACUCAGAUAUUCAAAUUCUCAUUUUUCAUAAUCUCACUUUUAUACUUUUUAGACUUUGUAAUGACAGCUUCAUUCUUUGAUCUGAAUAAGCAGCUCAGACCUUGUGCAAAUGAAUAGUGUUUCCAAGAAGUGUUUGUAUUUACAAUGUAUUUCAUGUAUAAGAGCUCCAACCAACUGAAAUGCUGAAAAGUUUCUUUAAAUGAGAUUUUUUUUUAUGGUGUCUAGUUAUACAUGAUUUAAGGUUAUAGACUUUCAUUUCAGUCAGUUCCUGGUCUUUAUAUUGUAUGUGUCCUGUAUAACUCCAUCCUCCAAUUCAUGUGUGCAGCCACAAAAAAAACCCAGACAAAGCAAAACAAUUCUGAGACAAGAGUAACACAGAAGAAAAGAUGAUUAAAGGUAUGUCUAUCAAAGGCAACAAUUACCAGAUUCCUUCUAUGCAGGUGUUUGUAUUAGAUAGUUAAGUAUCGUGAAAAGUCUGUGACAAUAGAGAUAGUUGUAUUGGAAGAGUGGUAGUGCACAUUGUAUCUAUCUCUUUUCUUGCUGUAGCUGCACGAUGGGAAAUUCUCCUGAAUUUCCUCUCUGCAGUGUCUAAUGCAGAAAAGCCAAUUCUCUCAUUUGCUCUUUGUUUUGGUAAUGGUUAUCUCUUCAUUUAUCUGUUAGUGAAAGUAGACAGGGAGUGUUUUAUGUGCAGGCACCUAUAGCUCACAGGACUGGCAUAGUCAUUUAGAGGAGAGUGGUGGGGUGAAAUGGAUGAGACUUUUGUUUAGACAGGGAUUCUGUUCCUAGCUCUGCCUAACGUGACCCUGCUCAACUUUCCUGAGCCUUCUGUAUUUUAUCUCUGACAUGGGUGGACUGAUACUUGCUUUCCUCAUAAAGCUGGAAGAUGGAACAGUGCUUGAUAAUUAUCUAUCUGAAGUGUCAGCAUCAUUAGGCAUGAUCAGGGGAAGAAGUAAAAACAGGACUCUUGGGUCUCCUCCAAGCUUUCUCUGGUUGGCAAGGCACUCCAGCUAUCCCAGCUGUUCUUCCUGUAAGCACCAGUUUUACUCAGCUGUUCUUAUAAAUGAUAGAGGAGGGACAGUGGGUUCAAGAAAAAUGCAUGGGAUGGGUAGGUAAAAUCUCUAGAAAUGCUAAAAAAAUGUAUGAAAAGUGACACCCUUCUUUCUUCUGCAAGUGGAUCUCACAGCAGUGCCACACCACCUCUUAAAUCCUGAUGGACACUCUUCUUGCCAAAAUCUGAAUUAUUUCUACAAACCCCAGAAAUAUUACAGGCUUUUUAAAGAAUCAUGGGAUCAUUUCGCUUGAAAAAGGUCUCUCAGGGCAGAAUGGAACUCCAGAAGAAGCUGCAAAGCAGAAAGUCUCCUUGUUUUCUUCCAGCUCCCUUUCAUAUUUCUUAGCUGGUGUUUGAAUAGCUGCAUAGACCUGCCCUGAGAGGUCCCAAGGAAAUGUAUAAGAAAUGAUUGGCCUUGGUUUUUCCAAUGCCUUUGAGGACAACCGCCUGUCACUCUGACACCAGCAUGCUACCAACAUCAUGGAAACUUCCCUUGUGGAGACUUUGCUGUCAGGCUUUCAUGCAGAGAAAGGAAACAGUGAACUUUCAAAACUCUUCCAUAGAUUUGCAAGGAAGCAGAAUUGAGUCAAAUUUGGUUAUGUGUGGGUUCAGAUAAAGGGAAGUUUCUCCACACUGCUUAGGUUUACAGGAGAAAUGCACCAGAAGAUCUCCCCCCUUUUUAACUCUUGUUAACAGCGGUACUGGAGAAACAUUCUUUCACUCAAAAUGACACUGCACUAAGGCAAGUUUGCAAAUAUCUGUCCUAUUCACAUAGUAAACUGAAGAACAUAUAUUUAUUUACUGCUACAAAAAGUGAUGAAGAAUUUUUGAUGUCAGGGAGCAAGAAGAGAGUUAGCAUAGCAUGUCUCUGCAAGAUGGAAACGUCCAUUGCAUAUUAUCCUAUGCAUAUGGAUAAGUACAUAUUUAAAGAUUCAGUUCUCUGGUUUUAGACCUAAAUCCUUAUGGAAAAUGGUAUGUGUCUUAGGAAUCUUGGAUGCAAAAUUAUCAUGCUUCUGCUCAGUGCUGUUUAACUGCUGAAUUAAUCAAGUGCAAUUGCUUAAGGCCCUGGAGGGAAGGAUGUAAUAAAUCCUGGGAAUAUUUGUUCUGGUUUAUGACUGGGAGAAACUGUGUAACAUUAAAUCAGAUGUUAUAAACA